GGCGGUGUAGCUCAGUCGGUCAGAGCAUGCGGCUCAUAUCCGCAGUGUCCGGGGUUCAAAUUCCUGCAACGCUA
Molecule: transfer RNA, 74 nt
Filed under: Candidatus Magnetobacterium bavaricum
Lineage: Bacteria; Pseudomonadati; Nitrospirota; Thermodesulfovibrionia; Thermodesulfovibrionales; Magnetobacteriaceae (SeqCode)
Rfam family: tRNA
About the family: Transfer RNA (tRNA) molecules are approximately 80 nucleotides in length. Their secondary structure includes four short double-helical elements and three loops (D, anti-codon, and T loops).
Source: Rfam by way of RNAcentral